GUAAUUAGAUAAAAAAUAAAAUUGUUGGAUGUAACUUUCAAAAGGUUUAUGUUGUUUAUAGCUUAAUAUAUGACAAAGCUUAUUGUGAUAUAUUUUCUUCAUAAUCUGUGUUACAUAGUUGCAAAUGAUAACUUUGGUCAUAACAGUUGCACAAUAUUAUUUAUAGUUCAUAACUUUAUGGACUUUUAAUAUCUUGGUCAGGGGUGUGACGUCCAUGUUGUUGUUCCGCCUGCGAACAUGGCUGCAUAUUACGAGAAGUUUGCUUUGGACUCGACCUACACCGUGUCAAACUUUAAAGUACAGCCAAAUAACUUGGUAUUUAAACCAUCCACACACAAGUAUUUGGUCAAGUUUACUGGAGGAACAUCGGUUUCUGAUGUUAACAAACACGAAAUAAAACCCAAGCAAAGGAAGUUUACCAAUUUUGUUGAUAUUAUUAUCGGCAAGUUUCAGAAAGAUUUGCUGCUCGGUAAUGUAAUAUUUAUGACUUGCAGCAAGUUACACAUUUUUUUGAAUGUUUCCUUCAUAUUACUUAUGUUGUUCGUUGUUAUGCUUUUUGCAAAUGUUAUUGGUAUGGUCGAGUCUAUUGGAUAUGCCCAGACACAGAGCAGAGGCAAAAAAACUGCAAGUCAAUUUGGUCUUUAGGGAUGAGAGCAACAACGCGAUAAAUUGCAACCUAUGGGAGGCCUAUGCUGCUCAAUUCUUUAAGUUUAACAAAGAACGGGGUAAAUGUAUUUUGUUCAAUAUGUAUGGCCUGUGGAUUCACAUCAACAACUCAUGACCCAUGCAUAGACAUCUCAGAGAAAUUGGGGUAAGACUGAAAAAUACAGAUAUAUAAUAUAUUUGUUUCUAUUGGUACUUGGUCAUUGUGUUGGUUAUGAGUUGAACUAUCCCUGGAAAGAAGCCCUUCUUGUGACCAUCACAGAGCUGAGACAGAGGGGAAUAUUGGAUAUUCGAGUAGGCGUUCAAUUGUUAGGGUAACUUAGUAUUCUUUUAUGUCAAAUAUGUCAUUUUUUCUAUCUAUGUAAUGCAUUGCAGUGUUUAUUAUUCUGGAUUUAACAUUAUGGGAAACACCCUCUUUGUUUAUUAUUCUGGAGUUAACAUUAUAUUAAGCCCUAAAAUGCUAUAGCGGCGGAUAUCAGGAUGACCGUCAUUGUGAAGACUAAAAAACAAUAUAUGUGGAAAGCUGUUGGAGUUAGAGAUCUAAUGGUGGUUGAAUCUUAGGCUGCAGUGACUGCAACCAUUUUUCAACUGCAGAGGAUCAUGGUCCUUAUUUAUGUAUUUGUGGUUGAAUCUUAGGCUGCAGUGAUUACAACCAUUUUUUAACUUCUCCCGACCGUUUCUGAUGCAAGGUUUCUGAGUCAGUGAUUAUACUUAGUAUUACAAAGGUCUGUUGGUUCCAUGGAGUUGGGUGAUGUUAUUUUACAGGAAUAGUAAAGAAAUUGAGAACAAGUAUUGCUUACGUGGUGCAGAAUGGGGAGUUGGUGAUUUUUCAGCAGAAGGAAUGACAAUAGAGGAGAGGUUUUUGAAUUCCUGUCAGUACAACAAAAAUCGGGCACGAUAAAAGAACCCAAUCAGAGGAUAAGAAGAACAUGAUUUCAUGACUGAGUAUAUAUGGUAUGUCGGUUGCAUGGUCGGUGAAAUCGUAACAAGACAACCCCUAUUCCCUAGAAGAGAUUAUGUUCACCAGCUAAGAUUGGUCACAGAGGGGAUGAGCAGCAGUUUUUGCAGUGACAAUCUAUUAUUCUUUUAAGUUUAGUCAUACUUGUGUUUUAACAUAAUUAGCAAGCCAAUGAUAAUAUUGAGAAGCGCCGACAUUGAUGGGUGGUAUCUCACUGGUGUAAUGGGGUGAACAUCGAUAUCGAAUUUCUGUUAUUGAUGUAUAGUUCUUACAGCUAUCAGUUUUUAUGUUAGCAUAAAUAAGUUUUCACACUUUACAGAUCUGUUCUAUUCGGCUGCUUGGAUAUUUCUUAAUUCUGAAUAA
Long non-coding RNA from Vicia villosa (hairy vetch), 1984 nucleotides. RefSeq lists it as uncharacterized. Lineage: Eukaryota; Viridiplantae; Streptophyta; Magnoliopsida; Fabales; Fabaceae. The transcript is spliced from 4 exons. The record is from RefSeq and is a predicted model, not a curated record.